UUGCAGAACUUGUUUCCUGAGUUCUGGUA
This 29-nucleotide non-coding RNA is filed under the name Rattus norvegicus (Norway rat). Lineage: Eukaryota; Metazoa; Chordata; Mammalia; Rodentia; Muridae. The record is from RNAcentral.